This is a long non-coding RNA of Papaver somniferum (opium poppy), 275 nucleotides long. RefSeq lists it as uncharacterized. The transcript is spliced from 2 exons. Lineage: Eukaryota; Viridiplantae; Streptophyta; Magnoliopsida; Ranunculales; Papaveraceae. The record is from RefSeq and is a predicted model, not a curated record.
UGAAACUAAGCAAAGCCCUCCAGAUGUUGUUAAGUUUCCUGAUAGUCGUCAAGAUUAUUCGGGGUUGAAGUUGACUGUUGAAGAGGUUGAACCACAACAAGAAAGUGGUGGGAAUAAUAUGUGGCAGGUGUAUGCACUGGGAGGUUUCAUGCUCCUGAGGUGGGGAUGGGCUAAAUGGAAGGAAGCACAGGCCAACAAGAAUGAUAAACCUGACUCUGGAGCCGAAGAUGCAUCCCCAACACAUGACCCAUAGUUUUAUAGUCUUUUAGAGAGAA